This is a long non-coding RNA of Myotis brandtii (Brandt's bat), 1738 nucleotides long. RefSeq lists it as uncharacterized. The transcript is spliced from 3 exons. Lineage: Eukaryota; Metazoa; Chordata; Mammalia; Chiroptera; Vespertilionidae. The record is from RefSeq and is a predicted model, not a curated record.
UUCUAUUAAGUUCAGCCACAUCUGUAGAAAGCCAUUUUUUCAUUAUAUUACUGCUUAAACUUGGAAGUUCAAAUACUGGAUAGUUUACAAAAGACAAUACAAUUGUAUAAAAGCUGGGGGGCGGGAAUCAAUAUAAUACACUGCAAGCUAUGCAGGGUGAUGGAAUACGAUGCAAAAGCAGGGGAAAUCAUAUGGUUAACACAGUUGGAGGAAAUGGGGGAAAAGACAAAAGAGAAAGGAAGUUCUCAUAGCAGAGACAACAUCUUAGUCAUCGUUAUACACCCGUUAGGGAAAAUAGACGACGUAAACACAUUUAUUGAGCACCUCCUAUAUACCAGGUAUGGUUCCAUAUCCUUUAGUUUUUAUAACCUCACUUCAAAGCAGUUAUUAGUAUGUUUUCAGAGGAAACAUAGUCAGAAAAUUUAGGUAGCUUGCCCAAUGUGUGGUAUACAAUGUGUUUCAUACAUCAGUUGUUGAAUCAAUAUCAUCUGAAUAAAUGAGUACAUAUUUAUUCAAAUGAAAUAUAUCUUGUGAAUUUUCUUUGUUGUGCUUCUUUAUAAUGUUUCUAGGAAAAUGCUAAACUCCUAACUACAGGCUAUGUAUGCAGUAAUAACAACAGUGACAAUAAUGGCUGCAACACAUAGAGACUUCUUGUUUUAUUUAUGUAUAUGAACUAAUUUAAUCAUGACUUAAUACAAGCUUUAUUCCUCAUUUUACAGAUGAGGGAACUGAGAUGUAGAGAGGUGAAAUAGCUUGUUGGUAGUGAAGCUAGGAUUUGAACCAGGCUGUAUCUAACACCUCUUGCUGCUUUUCUUCAUUGUGGCUCACUCAGAUGAAGGUUUCCUUAAUUUCUUCUUUCAGACCUAUUACAACCACUUUGGCAAGAAUUCCCAGCUUUUUCUAUUGUAGAAAAGGCAAAUUGAAAUCAUGGAGUGAAAUACAAGUCUCUUCUGCUUUCAUAUGGCAGGGGAGAUGAACAUAAGUCAACCUUGCUUUUAUGUCCCAUGCUGGAAGAUAUGUACUAUAUACUGUACUGUCCCAUUACAGUAUAUAAAUGUACCGGAAUUGCCUGCCUGAAUAAGGGCAAUAUGUGUAUCUAAAAUUGAAUAAAAAGCUGGCAGGGCCUGGGCACCAGUGAAGCCUUUCCUCUUGAGAAAGACUCUCUGCCUGGCCCCCUGUAAUUUCCAAAUUCAUAUUUCCUGUCUAGUCUCUUCAUUUGUGCACGGCCCUUCUCCAGGUCCCGAACCCAAGCCAUGCAGGACGCGGCUUUCACAGUCCCAGAUUACUACCCCCUGAGAUAAUCAAGAUGUAGUCAUGUCCUCAGGAAUCCACAACCCAGAGGGAGGUCAGGACAAACAGGCAGCUUCAGGCCCAGAUCAGCUACAAAACCAGCCCAGGCUGAAGCUGGGACCAGCUGCAUGGAAUGACCCCCUAUCCUGGUGCCGCCAAUCGAUCAGUGGAGUGCACAACCCUGAGAGGACACACCGGGAAGCCGCUGACUCUCCUAUUGAGAUCUUCUCCCGGGUCCGCCCCUCAACUCUCCACCCUUCAAACCCUCGGGACAGGGCCCGGCUGCUCUCCCUGCAGGAGCAGCAGAGCCUUUCCCUUCCCUUCAGCUUCCUCACGCCCACGCUGCAAGGGCCCUUCCUUUCCCUCCAUAACUUGUUUCCUAAGCCCAUUUCUCCCAGGAAUUGCUUCUUUUACUUCUGUGAUUUGCCAAAUACAUGUUCUUACAGUU